AAAAUAAAUACAUAAAUAAAUAAAAUAAAACACAGCUCAUUAGAUAUGCAGACCAUUGAAAUGAUGUAUAGUUCAUGAUAUACAUAGUUGACAGUUCUCUUUUUCUUUGUAGCUUUCCCUGUUUAUUAUAUACAAUAGGAAAUCAAUAUUUCAUAUUUUCGGAGGUAAAAACAAGUUCAUAUUAUUGUGAUUACUUGGAUCCUUUUCCUUUCCUUCUGUCAUUGGCCAAAUACUUUACAACUCAUCGUGGAAAAGGAAUGUCUCCAAGGCAUUCUUCUUCUUGCAGCCCCAUUUGCAUUUCCAAGAACACAUGGAAUUGAAGAUUGCAAUUCGUGUGGAAUGCAGGGAAAUGAGGUUUGAUGUUGAAGGAGAUUUUGAUAGAACAAUUGCAUACCCAUCAUCCAUGUAAUCUGUUCCGUCAGGGAACAGCUGCCACAGAAGGCUUCCAGCCCCACUUCCACCUUUCUUUGUGGAGUUCAGAAGGGUCUUGUACACUGUACUGAACAUGGUGUCACGGAAUGAGGAAUUGUAACCAGGGUCUUUUGAUGAUACACCAAACUCUGCAAAUAUGACAGGCAUAUCUAGAUAUUUCUCAGCAUCCUCAAUGUGGGCUUCUAUCCAUGAUUUAGUGAAUUCAAUAUGAGCAUCAGAAAUCUUUUGCGAAAUCCAAGAGUCUGCAUAAAUGUGAACCGAUGCAAAAUCAACACCAAGACUCUGAUGGUUCCUUAUAAAGUCAGUUCCAACUUGUGUUGCAUAAGUGUUAGGGUUGAAUUUAGCCCUCUCUGGAGCUGAGGGACCAUAAAAUCCUUCCAAUCCAAUCUCCACUAAAUGUUUUGCAUCCAUGCUUUUGAUGUAGACUGCCAUUUCUUGUAUCCAUGACUGCAAUUUAUCACCAGAAGGAUCUGUGGUGCAUCGAGGUUCGUUCAUCAAUUCCCAUGCAAAUAUUGUUGGAUCAUCCUUGUAAGUUAUGUUUGUGAGCGUAUUAACUCUGUUGAGCACCGUCUUAACAUGAGCCUUGUAGUAGCUUCUGAGAGUAGGAUGAGAGAAGAAAUCAUCAUCAGAUGUCAAAUUAAGUCCAGAAGCUUUUCCCCAUUUAACAUAUUGUGCUUUGCCACCAUAUGCAUCCCAGUUGUUAGCUAACGAUAAAAUGAGCCUGAUCUUGUACUUUCUUGCUUCGCUCACCACAAAAUCCAAGGCCUUAAAAACAUCUUCAUCGUAAACACCUGGAGAUUUCUGAAGAGCACGCCAUUGGCCGUCAUUAAAUGCCCAAGUUCUGCAGACUGUAAGACCCACUGAAGAUGCUUGUUGGAAAACCUCAGUGACUUUUCCUCUGGUAGAUUGGUCCGCAGCAAAUACCAUCAGCCAGUAUGUGUUGAAGCCAUUAACAUAGAAAGGUUGGUCAUUGACCACAAACUGGAUCCCUUUCUUCCCCACCAUUUCCCAUGCAUCUUCUUCCAUAUCAUUCACCUGAUAAAUCCCUUGACUGGCACUAGAAUAUGGUAAAUGGCUGUCCACUUCCUCCACUAUCAGUUCAACUUGCUCAUUCCCAGCUGGAACAUUAAAGCCAUUACUGGACUUGGGACUUACAAGGAACAUAAGCAAAAAAGCCAGUGAAAGAAUAUUAUUAAACCAAAAUAUUCUCUUGUGGGUAUCCAUGGUAUUGACCAAUCAGUAGUAUGAUGCGUUUUGCCUCCUCCUUGGACCACAUAUUUAUAUCUAGCAUCUCAUAAUACUUUUUUUUUCUUAUGCUGGGUAACAGAAUUGUGAUUUUCAAGAAGAGUGUUGAAGUGAGAAGCAACCUUCUGGCUUCAAAGCAAAGAAAAUCUUUUCUUUCUUGUCUCUACCAUUCCCUUCUCUUCCAAACACGGUCAGCAGCGAUGUAGAUAAUUUAGGUUGCUGUAUACGUAAGCAAAGUUGGAGGUAUCACUCCCAAGGUAAGUUAUAGAAGGGUCCAACGAGAUAAUGAGACCCUGAAAGUAUUAUUAAACUAGCUUUCUGUUCAGAUGUCAUCACGUCAAAGUGACAAUUUCAUUGCAUAUAUCAACAAAUACACCAACAACUAUCGCUAUAUAUAGAAAGAAAUCGAUCCACUUCGUUUGUCCUUGGCUAGCUAAUGGCUUGUAGGAAUAGGAUUGAGAUAAUGGAGGAGAAAGAAGAAGAAGCAGCGGCUUGUACGAAUGGAGCAAUGAA
Molecule: unclassified non-coding RNA, 2190 nt
Filed under: Hevea brasiliensis (rubber tree)
Lineage: Eukaryota; Viridiplantae; Streptophyta; Magnoliopsida; Malpighiales; Euphorbiaceae
Source: RNAcentral